GAUGAACGUUGGCGGCGUGCCUAACACAUGCAAGUCGAACGGGGAUAGCAAUAUCCUAGUGGCGCACGGGUGAGUAACACGUAGCUAACCUGCCCCCAAGAACGGGAUAACGGGUCGAAAGACCUGCUAAUACCGUAUAAGCUCACGCUAUUUAGCAAGGUGUGAGAAAAGUUCAGGCGCUUGGGGAUGGGGCUGCGGCCCAUCAGCUAGUUGGUGAGGUAACGGCUUACCAAGGCGACGACGGGUAGGGGGCCUGAGAGGGUGAACCCCCACACUGGGACUGAGACACGGCCCAGACUCCUACGGGAGGCAGCAGUGAGGAAUAUUGCUCAAUGGGCGCAAGCCUGAAGCAGCGACGCCGCGUGGGCGAUGAAGGUCUUCGGAUCGUAAAGCCCUUUUCUGCGUGACGAGGAAGGACGGUAGCGCAGGAAUAAGUGUCGGCUAACUACGUGC
Molecule: ribosomal RNA, 453 nt
Filed under: uncultured bacterium
Lineage: Bacteria
Description: bacterial SSU rRNA
Rfam family: Bacterial small subunit ribosomal RNA
Source: RNAcentral